Molecule: ribosomal RNA, 504 nt
Filed under: uncultured bacterium
Lineage: Bacteria
Description: partial 16S ribosomal RNA
Rfam family: Bacterial small subunit ribosomal RNA
Source: RNAcentral
AUUGAACGCUGGCGGCGGGCCUAACACAUGCAAGUCGAACGGUAGCACAGAGAGCUUGCUCUUGGGUGACGAGUGGCGGACGGGUGAGUAAUGUCUGGGAAACUGCCCGAUGGAGGGGGAUAACUACUGGAAACGGUAGCUAAUACCGCAUAACGUCUUCGGACCAAAGUGGGGGACCUUCGGGCCUCACACCAUCGGAUGUGCCCAGAUGGGAUUAGCUAGUAGGUGGGGUAAUGGCUCACCUAGGCGACGAUCCCUAGCUGGUCUGAGAUGAUGACCAGCCACCCUGGAACUGAGACACGGUCCAGACUCCUACGGGAGGCAGCAGUGGGGAAUAUUGCACAAUGGGCGCAAGCCUGAUGCAGCCAUGCCGCGUGUAUGAAGAAGGCCUUCGGGUUGUAAAGUACUUUCAGCGGGGAGGAAGGCGUUAAGGUUAAUAACCUUGGCGAUUGACGUUACCCGCAGAAGAAGCACCGGCUAACUCCGUGCCAGCCGCCGCAGUAA